CUGCGUCCCUGAGUGUCCACGAGGAUACAGGAAGCAAGUAACAACACCUGACAAUUCAACUGCACAAGCCCUUCAAGAGCAGUGUGAAGAUAUAAACGAGUGUCUGGAGGAGAGGUGUGAGUGGCAGUGUGUCAACCUGCCAGGCUCUUUCCGCUGCGUUUGUCCCAGAGGACACACACGACACGGAGACGGACACCAGUGCAAGGACAUUAAUGAGUGCACUCGCAAGAACGGAGGUUGUUCGCACUGGUGCGUGAACCAGAAGGGAGGAUAUAAGUGCGCCUGCCCGUCGUCCCAUCGCCUCUCACACUACAGCUGGAAGAAAUGUUUACCAAGAACAACAGCGCACACUGCUGGCUGAUCUGGAAUGUGGCGUAAAAAAAGAAAAUAACAAUAAUGUCUUUUUUUAAUUUCUUGAUAAAGUUCUUUAUGUGUAUGUAUGUUCGUAAUAUAAAAAGUAACGUGGUCCAAUUUAAAGCAACACUCAGUUUUUAUUAUUUUUCUAUGAACAUUGUUUGAAAAUGUCAUAAAAUAAAUGUACUUUUCGAUUAUAUUAUAAGGAUAAAAUAGCUUUUAAUGUUAGAUAGUUAACUGGCUUAACGUUUUAUAAUAGUAGACUUACAAAUCUAAACAAACUAAGACAGUAUC
Molecule: long non-coding RNA, 648 nt
Organism: Solea solea (common sole)
Lineage: Eukaryota; Metazoa; Chordata; Actinopteri; Pleuronectiformes; Soleidae
Exons: 3
Source: RefSeq, a predicted model, not a curated record